Non-coding RNA from Salmo salar (Atlantic salmon), 2068 nucleotides. NCBI's taxonomy places the organism in Eukaryota, Metazoa, Chordata, Actinopteri, Salmoniformes, Salmonidae. The record is from RefSeq and is a predicted model, not a curated record.
CCACUACUACUAACCAGUCAACAACCACUACUACUAACCAGCCAACAACCACUACUACUAACCAGCCAACAACCACUUCAUUGACUACAACUACGAAAGAUCCCUCUUUUGACAAAACCAAAGAAGGUCCAAUUGGCGUUGCAACCGUCUCUACCACUAUAGGCAGUGGGACUAAAAACGAUAGUGCACGCAGUACACCCAGUGCUACAUCUACGUCAUCUUCAGUGAUAACCGAUGGCACAGGAGGAAACAACAGGACCAAUACAACUUUUCCACCAACCACAAGUCACGGUGCCAGUACUUCACCUGGGAGGGUGGACCCAGCAAAAACCAGUAAGAGAUCAACCAUCUCCCCAUCUGGUGGUUCUACUAAACGUCCCCUGAAGCCUUCCACCAGGCCUCAGUCAAGCACCACAACUAAAUCUAGCACAACUGCCAACGUUGCUUCCGGGGGUAAUGGUGGUGGUUUCAGAGACUGGGUACCGGGAUGGGCCAUUGCUCUGUUGGUGUUAGCCGCUGUCAUCCUGCUACUCCUCAUUAUCAUCUUUAUCAUGAUGGUGGUGCGUUGGUGCUGUAAAAGGUCAAAAGAUGAAAAGAAGAGCACCCCCAACAUCGGCUCUUUCCACGGAUAUGUCUCCCAUGGCCCCCAAGCCCCCAUACAGGAGCAACCCAAUGGAAAGACCUUUCAGGAUGAGCCCCGAAAGAAGAAUAAAACAGGCAUGUACAUAGUGAACCCCUGAGCAGGAAGAUGUGGAGGUGACAUACCAACAGGCAAACUCUGGUCAACAGAACAAGAGCAGAUAAAGAUGAGCUACAAGCAAAACCAAAUCACAGCCCCUGUAGAUAUGUAUAGUUUGUCAGGAAUUUAGUAUGUUAUAUUUUAAGAAUGAAAAUGAUCGGAAUGAAUGGUUUCAUAAUUUUUUAUUUAUUACACUUUUGUUUGCGCAUAAAUAUUGGGCAACCUUGCUAGUAUUUGUAUUACUCUAUAUGACGUCAUCAUCUUUGACCCUGUUAUCAAGACAACCAGCAUCUUUAUUAUAUUCUGACUUGUCCAUUGGUACAAAAAAAUAUUGGUACAAAUAUCUCAGAUGUUUUGCUUUGCAUCUUGUGUAACUGUUCAGUUGGAUAAUGUUAAAGAUUAUUGUUAAAAAAAUAUAUGUGAAAAUCAGAGUGCAUUCCUUAAUUGGUCAGAUAUUUGAAUAGGGAGUUUACACUAAUAAUUUGAAAUCUUGUAAAAUGGAAAUGAAUCCUAACUUGACUUGAGAUCCCAUUGCUGUCAAUGGAAGAUUUGCAAAAACUCAAGUUACAUGCACAGAUCUAAAGUUAGUUUUGGGAGUUGAGCACUACACAUCAUUAGUGUCCUUGAUUUCUGUGUAUUGAGUUUGUAUCACAUCAUGUUAUAUACAAUUUAAUAGAAGACUUCAUUGAAGUGUCCUCAUUAAAGUGACAGUUCACUCCAACAUCAAAGUUGGUAUUUUUCUACCUUAAAAGUAGUUUAAUGUAGAAAUAACUACUUGCUUCAAGUCAUCUAAUCUGAAGUCAUUCAAAAUGCAUGCAAUCCCAAAUAUCCUUUGAAUUACAUGAAAUUUGGUUUAGGCUUUAUUGAUUUACAGAAAUAGGAUGUGGGCUGGUACAAAGUAGAUUCAUUCAUGAAAAUGCUUUCAACCGUUUACCUCUGUCCAUGUAAUCUACACACCACACCCUUAAAGGAAGGAUAUGCCUUUUAAAUGGCGAUUUCAUAUUUAUUUGAACCCAAUGCGAAUACCAUUAACAUUAUGUAAGCAGACAGGUUGUUUAGCAUGUGUAGUAUAUGAGUAAUGUGUGAAUGACAUGAUGCUCCAAGAAAAUUAUAUAUCUCUCACCAUCCAUCUCACUGUAAGAUGCAGGUGUCAUGGAGUUGGUUGAUGAAGUAAUUUGAAACAUGAACUAUCUUUGCAUGAUGAGUAAACCUGGCUGAGAUCUGUUAAUAACCUGUGCUUAGUAUUUCUUUUUAAUCAUGAUUAAAUAUUCAAUUAAGAUAAAUGCUUUAUUAAACAUUGUAGCAUGUUUUGUUUUGUCUUGCAAUGUA